This 460-nucleotide ribosomal RNA is filed under the name uncultured bacterium. RNAcentral's name for it is "partial 16S ribosomal RNA". It matches the Rfam family "Bacterial small subunit ribosomal RNA", at positions 338 to 795 of the family's 1533-position model. The record is from RNAcentral.
CCUACGGGUGGCAGCAGUGAGGAAUAUUGGUCAAUGGGCGUAAGCCUGAACCAGCCAAGUCGCGUGAGGGAUGAAGGUUCUAUGGAUCGUAAACCUCUUUUAUAAGGGCAUAAAGUGUGGGACGUGUCCUAUUUUGUAUGUACCUUAUGAAUAAGGAUCGGCUAACUCCGUGCCAGCAGCCGCGGUAAUACGGCGGAGCCGAGCGUUAUCCGGAUUUAUUGGGUUUAAAGGGUGCGUAGGCGGCCUUUUAAGUCAGCGGGGAAAGGAUGUGUCGCAACCAUAUAAAUGCCUUUGAAACUGGGGGGCUUGAGGAUGCUUGAGGCAGGCGGAAUGCGUGGUGUAGCGGUGCAAUGCUUAGAUAUCACGCAGAACCCCGAUUGCGAAGGCAGCCUGCCAAGCCAUGACUGACGCUGAUGCACGAAAGCGUGGGGAUCAAACAGGAUUAGAUACCCGUGUAGUC